AUUGAACGCUGGCGGCAGGCCUAACACAUGCAAGUCGAACGAGUGGCGGACGGGUGAGUAAUUUCUGGGAAACUGCCUGAUGGAGGGGGAUAACUACUGUAAACGGUAGCUAAUACCGCAUACCAUCAGAUGUGCCCAGAUGGGAUUAGCUUGUUGGUGGGGUAAAGGCUCACCAAGGCGACGCUCCCUAGCUGGUCUGAGAGGAUGACCGGCCACACGGGAACUGAGACACGGGCCAGACUCCUACGGGAGGCAGCAGUGGGGAAUAUUGCACAAUGGGCGAAAGCCUGAUGCAGCAAUGCCGCGUGUAUGAAGAAGGCCUUCGGGUUGUAAAGUACUUUCAGCGGGGAGGCGUUACCCGAAGAAGAAGCACCGGCUAACUCCGUGCCAGCAGCCGCGGUAAUAC
This 406-nucleotide ribosomal RNA is filed under the name uncultured bacterium. Its description in RNAcentral is "partial 16S ribosomal RNA". It matches the Rfam family "Bacterial small subunit ribosomal RNA", at positions 30 to 526 of the family's 1533-position model. The record is from RNAcentral.